This is a long non-coding RNA of Phasianus colchicus (ring-necked pheasant), 1941 nucleotides long. RefSeq lists it as uncharacterized. The record is from RefSeq and is a predicted model, not a curated record. Lineage: Eukaryota; Metazoa; Chordata; Aves; Galliformes; Phasianidae.
GCAAUGUGAGUGGGGCUGGUAUCAGCCUCAGCACGGGAUCCAGGAUGUUUGGGGAUGCAAGGAAAAGGUGUCCAGCAUAGGAAGGUGAUGCAUUUUAGCCCCCUAUGACAGCAAUUUCCUACACAAUAGCAGGAGGGAUUUACAAGCCAUAUCCCCCCAGAUGCUUUAUUUUUGAGGUCUCUGGCAUUAGAACAGGCCAUAGGAUGCAGGAGCUGUUCCUACCCAAGGAGACGAAUUCUCCCCAGCUUUUUUUGCCUGUGAGAGCCUCAGUGUGUGCAAACGUGGGUGCAUGUGCCCAUGGCAGCCACAUCCCCUGCUUCGCUGCUUUGUGAAGAGAAUUGGAUUUUUAAAGAGGUUCCUCUUGGCAAGGGGCUCUGCUGGCAGAGAUGAAGGAAGAAAUGAUCAAACCCAGAGGCUCGUACCUCUUGUCUCCUCCAUUCGGCCCCUUUUGCAAUGCGGUGGAGGAGCUCUGCUUUUAAACAAAAGCUAAACACUGUCAGUGGGAGAGCAAAGCAGGAUCUCUCUGAAAUGCAAAUGCCUCUUUCAGAGCAGCCAGCUUUGAAAACAGGGAUCCUGCUGACUCAUGUUUAGAAACCGGGGAAGAGAGCUGCUUUGGUGCCCUGUCUGCCCUGCUCUCAUCUUCAGCCCCAUCUCAUCCUGGGGAUGUAUACGUAAACCCUGGGGUAAAGCAGGCUGCGAGGAUGAAAUGGUGCCAGUGGGGAUGAACCUGCAGCCCAGCCAGCAUUUGCUUUAUGAAGCCACGGGCUGCCCUUCCAACAAAGCAGGAGCAGCACAGUAUCAGCACAGCCCUCUUCAUGUCCAUGAGUGCUGGGAUCCAGGCAGGCAGAUCCUCGUGCCUGCAGGUCUCAUGCGAUUGCCAUUUAACAGCUGCUCCUGGCCUUUGCAUUUACAUGAUGGAAGGAGUGGGCCCCUGACCUGUGUGCUUCCAGAAAGGUGAAGGAGAAGGGAAGAACGAGAGAGAAACCAAAGGAGGAGGUUGCCAGCCCAGGGUGCUGAGAGCUCCCAUGUAACCCAGCUCUGCUGCUAGAUUACACUCUGACCUACACCUUUAUGCACCAUCCACCAGUGUGGUGUCCCACCCGUUCUGCUUGCUGAUGCUGAAAGGCAGGAAGCAGAAGGGAUGCUCCCAAGGGGCUGGCAUCUCUUCAAAUCAGAGACUCUGGCAACUGUUGCCUCACUGAAGAAAUUGCUAUCAUUUUUCUAAGUGGUUGGGUCAAUACAGGGGUGUCACUUGGGAAAUUUGGGAUUUAUUUCUCCCCACCAUCAACCCACUGGGAAUAAGUGACGCAGGCAGGUAGAUCCUCACUCAUAGAGCUGCUGCGGUGAUGAAGAUGAAGCAGUUCAGUACUGGUCCCAGUAAUGAUCCCUGAGGGAUGCCACUGUCAGUGAUCUCCAUCCACUGAGCCACUGAGCUCUGCUCUCUGGGUGGGAUCUCACAACCGUUCCUCAUCCAUUGAACAGCCCGCCUAUCAAAGCUGUACUUCUCCAAGUUAGAGACAAGGAUGUUGUUGGGGCCAAAUGCCUCACUGAAGCCCAAGCAGAUGACAUCAGUGGCUCUUCCAUUGCCCGUGGACACAGUUAUGCCAUCUGGUUGGAAAUGUUGGUUUCAAAUACUUCAAAGUGAACAUUUGGAGUUUUCAUAGCAAGAUGACAGUUUUGGUCCAAAUUGAAUCACACUGAUUUUAUAUAUAUAUAUUUUAUGCUAAUAAGUAAAUCCUCAGGGAAAUCUCUUCCACUCCAAAUGUGGACUGAAGGAAAUUGACAAACUCCAAAUGCUUCUCAGGGCUUUGUUUCUUGCUGCUGUUCGAUUUGAUAUCAUCAGUUUUGGAUAAAAAUGGGGUUUUAUUGGUUAUUUUGGUUAGAAAUGCUGAAAUGUUUCCUAGAGACAAGCCAGGCUCCAAGAAAUUUUCACCUGGGAGA